GAGACAUUCAACUAUAUUUAUAGCCUUCCAGAAGAGAGAAACCAUCCUACUGCAAUCACUGGAUCUCAGGCUCUCACAUCCACAGGUGGCUGGUAUAGGAACAAAUGAAAAUAUGGUGGACAAGCUACUUCAACGUUCUGUAAUUAAGCAUGAAAACAACAGGAAUCUUGAAAGUGUCAGCGCGGGAAUUCCAGCAGAAGUAGGUUCCUCUAUUGUAAAGGAGAGCUCUUGCACAAGUUCUGGGUUGAAUGAAAUUU
Molecule: unclassified non-coding RNA, 257 nt
Filed under: Hevea brasiliensis (rubber tree)
Lineage: Eukaryota; Viridiplantae; Streptophyta; Magnoliopsida; Malpighiales; Euphorbiaceae
Source: RNAcentral